Molecule: long non-coding RNA, 1095 nt
Organism: Paramormyrops kingsleyae
Lineage: Eukaryota; Metazoa; Chordata; Actinopteri; Osteoglossiformes; Mormyridae
Source: RefSeq, a predicted model, not a curated record
GGUCUUUCGGUGCGUUAGGGGAGCGAGCGCACCGGCGCGGGCUCUCACACGCGCAGCCGGCCCGGUGCGCGCGACGCCGCUCCGCUCCAAUGAGGGCAUCCCGGUUUGGGAAAGAAGGUGCCCACGUGACAGGGCAGAGCAGCGACACGGCGUCUCCGAGUUAAACGCGCCUCUCGACGGAGCGCGGCUCACACUCGCUGAGGAAAGAAGAGGAGGAAGAAGAAGAAUACGAGAAAACAGUAAAAGAAAACAAACAAACAAAAAAAAAGAUUUCCGAAGAAACAUUAAAGCCGACGCCGCGGAAGAUGGAAGGCUACGUGCUGUCUGAAGACGAUCUGCUCCACUCCUGCCUUCACAGAUUCACCUGGGAGAAUCCGUGCGACCAGGGCCCCUGCACAAUGUAAUUGAUUUCUAGAAUCUGGCCUGGUUGGAAGGAAAUAGACAACUGACUGAAAAUGCCACCAGAUUUGUCCCAGACUGAGGCUCCCAUGUCUCUGAAGUAAAUCCCACAAUAUCUUCUUUCUGGAAUAUCUUUGGACUGUGGAAAAGAUCCAUGAGGAAACCCAAGCAAAGAGAGGACACGUGCAGACUCCACCCACUCAGAGCCAGGGGAAUCGACCCCAUACCCUUAUUGGUGUGACCUGUCAAUGUCACCCUGGAUCUCCGAACUUCACAUUGUCAUGGAGAGCCAGGCAGCCCAAGAGAGAAACUUCAUUUCGGCGAGAAGCGUGGUCUCUGGGGUACCUCCACAGAUCCACAAGGACAUUCUGGUUUUGUACAUCUCAUUCUUCUUCGGUGCUCUCAGCCUGUGGUGAUGUGACCUUCAAUGACGCGAAGUGGAACAGAAAAUGUAUGGAUGGGCGGAAGAUGACUGUACAAUAUUUAAAGCAUAUAUUGAAGUAAAUUCCAAUAUGUGGUAUGUUUUAUAUGCUAUAUUAAUGUUUUUGAAGUAUUCCAAAUGAAAUCCUACUAGAAAUGUUGACUGUCAAUAUUUAAUAUCGUAACACAUUUCUAUUGUAUAACUUCUUAUCUGUUUAUCCCAUCAAUGUAAUGCGCAGAUAAUUCUUCAGAUUAAAAUUCUGUGAAACACCUUGA